This is a long non-coding RNA of Pistacia vera, 661 nucleotides long. RefSeq lists it as uncharacterized. Lineage: Eukaryota; Viridiplantae; Streptophyta; Magnoliopsida; Sapindales; Anacardiaceae. The record is from RefSeq and is a predicted model, not a curated record. The transcript has 4 exons.
AAAAAAAAAAAAAAAGAAAGAAAGAAAGUAAGAAAAAAAGAAUGAAGGAAGAAAAGUGAUGUGUGGGAUAUGUCUCCUAUGUAUGAAAGAAAUGUUUCACUAUUUAUGAAGUCUAUCAUUAUUUGCUGGCAAACGAGGUUCCAUGGUUUGAAUUUUUUUUUGGUUUCAGGAAAUUGAUCAACUUUCAUUGAUUCCACAUAUAUCUGAAGCCAGCUCCUUAAAGUAUCCUUAUGAGGUCCUUUUCCGGAGUUUACACAAGCUGCUUAUGGAUACUGCAACUUUUGAGUGCCUUUUUGCUCUUCUCCUUGAUUUUGUUUUCUCGAUGUCCAUUUGCAGUCAUUUAUGAGCACUUCAACUCAAUACUACCAAAUUGUUAUGAUGCUAUUGGGUUAAUGCUUAUGAUCCGCAUAAUCCACUAGCACCAGGUCAAUAUUUCCCUGUGGCCUCGUUUUAAGAUGGUUUUUGACUUGCAUCUUGGUAGUUUGUGUAAUGCAAAUGUGAGGACAUUGUGGGAAGAUGAUAUUCAUCCUAAUUAUGUAAUGAGGCGUUAUGCUGAACUUACAGCUUCUCUUAUUCACCUCAAUGUUGAAUAUGGAGAUGGCCAGCUUGAAUUGAAUAUGGAACGGUUGAGAAUGGCUGUAGAUGAAUUGCUUAUGAAGCU